UGGCUCAGAACGUACGCUGGCGGCGUGCCUUACACAUGCAAGUCGAGCGGUAACAGGUGUAGCACUACUUGCUCACGAGCGGCAAACGUGCGAGUAAUGCUUGGGAAUCUACCCUCUGGUGGGGAAUAACCAGCUGAAAGGUUGGCUAAUACAGCAUAGCGUCCUACGGGAGAAAGCAGGGGAUCGCAAGACCUUGCGCCGAUGGAUGAGCCGAAGUCGGAUUAGCUAGUUGGUGGGGUAACGGCUCACCAAGGCGAGGAUAAGUAGCUGGUCUGAGAGGACGAUCAGCCUCACUGGGAUUGAGUCACGGCCCAGAGACCUACGGGAGGC
Molecule: ribosomal RNA, 330 nt
Filed under: uncultured Gammaproteobacteria bacterium
Lineage: Bacteria; Pseudomonadati; Pseudomonadota; Gammaproteobacteria
Description: bacterial SSU rRNA
Rfam family: Bacterial small subunit ribosomal RNA
Source: RNAcentral